UACGAAGGGGGCUAGCGUUGUUCGGAAUUACUGGGCGUAAGGCGCACGUAGGCGGAUCGAUCAGUCAGGGGUGAAAUCCCAGGGCUCAACCCUGGAACUGCCUUUGAUACUGUCGAUCUGGAGUAUGGAAGAGGUGAGCGGAAUUCCGAGUGUAGAGGUGAAAUUCGUAGAUAUUCGGAGGAACACCAGUGGCGAAGGCGGCUCACUGGUCCAUUACUGACGCUGAGGUGCGAAAGCGUGGGGAGCAAACAGG
RNAcentral lists this ribosomal RNA (253 nucleotides) under uncultured bacterium. Its description in RNAcentral is "partial 16S ribosomal RNA". It matches the Rfam family "Bacterial small subunit ribosomal RNA", at positions 524 to 776 of the family's 1533-position model. The record is from RNAcentral.